This 674-nucleotide long non-coding RNA is filed under the name Gopherus agassizii (Agassiz's desert tortoise). RNAcentral describes it as "lncRNA (ENSGAGG00000012506.1)". Lineage: Eukaryota; Metazoa; Chordata; Testudines; Testudinidae. The record is from RNAcentral.
GAGGAACGUCCCGCGCGCCAGCGGGGCCCGGGGUGCGCGCGGCUGCCUGUCACCUGCGUGUCAGUCAUCCCCGGCGGUGCGGGGAGCAGGGGGCACCUGCGGACAGAGCCCGCUGGGCCCGGCGGCGCCAGCUCCUUUGCCUCGCCUCCCUCUGCAGCGCUUCUCUGGUACGGGAGCGCCGAGGAGCAGCUUCGUGAUCGGUGCAUUUUAAAAUCGCCGAGUUGCAUAAGGUCCCUUGGCUGCCGGCUGGAAAGCUGGAAGUCCUUGCUUUUUGGAUAAGACUCAUCUUAUAAAGAAAGGAGCUGCACGCUUGAAGCGAGAAAAUAUAGAUAGAAUUCAUGACUCAGUGGCCUUUUAUGAAACGGGUGGAGUCGCAUCUAUUCCAGAUGCUCCACAAAUUUCUGAUCAAAUACUUGGAAUAGAAGGAUCAACUAUUCCGGUGUAUGUUCUCAUUAAUUCCAAAGAUUUAAUUCUUAAGUGUUUGACUCAAAAGCUGUUAAAGCAGAGAAUCAUUGAUCCGAAGUAUCAGUGGAUUGGUCCCAUAGGAUUGAUAACCAAAGAAUCACAAAGGUUUGUUUUAACUGAUGACGGUAGCCUGGAAAUUUAUAAUAUUCAUGGAAGUGACUCCGGAAGUUACAUCUGCAAUGUCAUCUAUGUACAUAACAAUAAAUAUG